RNAcentral lists this ribosomal RNA (433 nucleotides) under uncultured bacterium. Its description in RNAcentral is "partial 16S ribosomal RNA". It matches the Rfam family "Bacterial small subunit ribosomal RNA", at positions 29 to 507 of the family's 1533-position model. The record is from RNAcentral.
AACGAACGCUGGCGGCAGGCCUAACACAUGCAAGUCGAGCGGACCCUUCGGGGUUAGCGGCGGACGGGUGAGUAACGCGUGGGAACGUGCCCUUUGCUUCGGAAUAGCCCUGGGAAACUGGGAGUAAUAUCGGAUACGCCCUUUUGGGGAAAGAUUUAUCGGCGAAGGAUCGGCCCGCGUUGGAUUAGGUAGUUGGUGGGGUAAUGGCCUACCAAGCCGACGAUCCAUAGCUGGUUUGAGAGGAUGAUCAGCCACACUGGGACUGAGGCACGGCCCAGACUCCUACGGGAGGAAGCAGUGGGGAAUCUUAGACAAUGGUGGGAACACUGAUCUAGCCAUGCCGCGUGAGCGAUGAAGGCCUUAGGGUUGUAAAGCUCUUUCACCGGGGAAGAUAAUGACGGUACCCGGAGAAGAAGCCCCGGCUAACUCCGUG